CCAGGGAUGCAGCUGAAGCAAGCUUUACCCAAUCACCUGUCAAUGGCACAGCUUCCAGUGUGCAGAGAAAACAGCCUGGUAAUGCCUUGAAGAAGAAGGUCUUGAGGAAGCAGGACAAGGUGCCCAGUAUGCCCAUGGUCCAUGAGGAAGACAGAGUCCCAUGCAACUCCUCAGGGAGAAGAAGGAGAAGGGACUCUUCAGCAUCAAACACCUGGCUGAGUCCCAUUCAGAAGUCCUGCUCUCUAGACUUCGUGACAUUUG
This 261-nucleotide long non-coding RNA is filed under the name Catharus ustulatus (Swainson's thrush). Its description in RNAcentral is "lncRNA (ENSCUSG00005006404.1)". Lineage: Eukaryota; Metazoa; Chordata; Aves; Passeriformes; Turdidae. The record is from RNAcentral.